RNAcentral lists this ribosomal RNA (253 nucleotides) under uncultured bacterium. Its description in RNAcentral is "partial 16S ribosomal RNA". It matches the Rfam family "Bacterial small subunit ribosomal RNA", at positions 524 to 776 of the family's 1533-position model. The record is from RNAcentral.
UACGGAGGGUGCAAGCGUUGUCCGGAAUCACUGGGCGUAAAGGGCGCGUAGGCGGCUCGGUAAGUAGGGGGUGAAAUCCUGCGGCUUAACCGCAGGGCUGCCUUCUAAACUGUCGAGCUUGAGCACGGUAGAGGCAGAUGGAAUUCCCGGUGUAGCGAUGGAAUGCGUAGAGAUCGGGAAGAACAUCAGUGGCGAAGGCGGUCUGCUGGGCCGUUGCUGACGCUGAGGCGCGACAGCGUGGGGAGCAAGCAGG